This 72-nucleotide transfer RNA is filed under the name Bos taurus (domestic cattle). It matches the Rfam family "tRNA". Rfam says of the family: Transfer RNA (tRNA) molecules are approximately 80 nucleotides in length. RNAcentral also lists the same sequence under 3 other names. The record is from Rfam by way of RNAcentral. Lineage: Eukaryota; Metazoa; Chordata; Mammalia; Artiodactyla; Bovidae.
UCCCUUGUAGCUCACAUGGUAAAGAAUCUGCCUACAAUGCAGGAGACCUGGGUUCAAUUCCUGGCUCAGGAA